This 425-nucleotide ribosomal RNA is filed under the name uncultured archaeon. Its description in RNAcentral is "bacterial SSU rRNA". It matches the Rfam family "Archaeal small subunit ribosomal RNA", at positions 575 to 997 of the family's 1478-position model. The record is from RNAcentral.
CGGGGGAUACUGCCAGACUUGGAACCGGGAGAGGUAAGAGGUACUACAGGGGUAGGAGUGAAAUCUUGUAAUCCCUGUGGGACCACCUGUGGCGAAGGCGUCUUACCAGAACGGGUUCGACGGUGAGGGACGAAAGCUGGGGGCACGAACCGGAUUAGAUACCCGGGUAGUCCCAGCCGUAAACGAUGCUCGCUAGGUGUCAGGCAUGGCGCGACCGUGUCCUGGUGCCGCAGGGAAGCCGUGAAGCGAGCCACCUGGGAAGUACGGCCGCAAGGCUGAAACUUAAAGGAAUUGGCGGGGGAGCACAACAACGGGUGGAAGCCUGCGGUUUAAUUGGACUCAACGCCGGACAACUCACCGGGGGCGACAGCAAUAUGUAGGCCAAGCUGAAGACUUUGCCUGAAUCGCUGAGUAGAGGUGCAUGG